GKCUCAGAUUGAACGCUGGCGGCAGGCCUCACACAUGCAAGUMGAGCGGUAGCACAGUGAGCUUGCUCUUGGGUGACGAGCGGCGGACGGGUGAGUAAUGUCUGGGAAACUGCCUGAUGGAGGGGGAUAACUACUGGAAACGGUAGCUAAUACCGCAUAACGUCGCAAGACCAAAGAGGGGGACCUUCGGGCCUCUUGCCAUCAGAUGUGCCCAGAUGGGAUUAGCUAGUAGGUGGGGUAACGGCUCACCUAGGCGACGAUCCCUAGCUGGUCUGAGAGGAUGACCAGCCACACUGGAACUGAGACACGGUCCAGACUCCUACGGGAGGCAGCAGUGGGGAAUAUUGCACAAUGGGCGCAAGCCUGAUGCAGCCAUGCCGCGUGUAUGAAGAAGGCCUUCGGGUUGUAAAGYACUUUCAGCGGGGAGGAAGGCGUUGAGGUUAAUAACCUCAGCGAUUGACGUUACCCGCAGAAGAAGCACCGGCUAACUCCGUGCCAGCAGCCGCGGUAAUACGGAGGGUGCAAGCGUUAAUCGGAAUUACUGGGCGUAAAGCGCACGCAGGCGGUCUGUCAAGUCGGAUGUGAAAUCCCCGGGCUCAACCUGGGAACUGCAUUCGAAACUGGCAGGCUAGAGUCUUGUAGAGGGGGGUAGAAUUCCAGGUGUAGCGGUGAAAUGCGUAGAGAUCUGGAGGAAUACCGGUGGCGAAGGCGGCCCCCUGGACAAAGACUGACGCUCAGGGCGAAAGCGGAC
This 751-nucleotide ribosomal RNA is filed under the name Enterobacter kobei. RNAcentral describes it as "bacterial SSU rRNA". The record is from RNAcentral. Lineage: Bacteria; Pseudomonadati; Pseudomonadota; Gammaproteobacteria; Enterobacterales; Enterobacteriaceae.